RNAcentral lists this ribosomal RNA (419 nucleotides) under Marinobacter nauticus. Its description in RNAcentral is "bacterial SSU rRNA". It matches the Rfam family "Bacterial small subunit ribosomal RNA", at positions 73 to 486 of the family's 1533-position model. The record is from RNAcentral. Lineage: Bacteria; Pseudomonadati; Pseudomonadota; Gammaproteobacteria; Pseudomonadales; Marinobacteraceae.
GGGAAGCUUGCUUCCCGCUGACGAGCGGCGGACGGGUGAGUAAUGCUUAGGAAUCUGCCCAGUAGUGGGGGAUAGCCCGGGGAAACCCGGAUUAAUACCGCAUACGUCCUACGGGAGAAAGCAGGGGAUCUUCGGACCUUGCGCUAUUGGAUGAGCCUAAGUCGGAUUAGCUAGUUGGUGGGGUAAAGGCCUACCAAGGCGACGAUCCGUAGCUGGUCUGAGAGGAUGAUCAGCCACAUCGGGACUGAGACACGGCCCGAACUCCUACGGGAGGCAGCAGUGGGGAAUAUUGGACAAUGGGGGCAACCCUGAUCCAGCCAUGCCGCGUGUGUGAAGAAGGCUUUCGGGUUGUAAAGCACUUUCAGUAGGGAGGAAAACCUUAUGGUUAAUACCCAUGAGGCUUGACGUUACCUACAGAA